AAAUCUGUAUUAGGCUGAUACAAACAUAAUUGUGGAUUUUGCAAUUACUUUUAAUGGCAAAAACUUCAAUUACUUUUGCACCAACCUAAUAGAUUU
RNAcentral lists this microRNA precursor (96 nucleotides) under Chlorocebus sabaeus (green monkey). Its description in RNAcentral is "miRNA (ENSCSAG00000024989.1)". The record is from RNAcentral. Lineage: Eukaryota; Metazoa; Chordata; Mammalia; Primates; Cercopithecidae.